RNAcentral lists this ribosomal RNA (253 nucleotides) under uncultured bacterium. RNAcentral describes it as "partial 16S ribosomal RNA". It matches the Rfam family "Bacterial small subunit ribosomal RNA", at positions 524 to 776 of the family's 1533-position model. The record is from RNAcentral.
UACGUAGGUGGCAAGCGUUGUCCGGAAUUAUUGGGCGUAAAGCGCGCGCAGGUGGUUCCUUAAGUCUGAUGUGAAAGCCCACGGCUCAACCGUGGAGGGUCAUUGGAAACUGGGGAACUUGAGUGCAGAAGAGGAAAGUGGAAUUCCAAGUGUAGCGGUGAAAUGCGUAGAGAUUUGGAGGAACACCAGUGGCGAAGGCGACUUUCUGGUCUGUAACUGACACUGAGGCGCGAAAGCGUGGGGAGCAAACGGG